AGCUAUGAAUCAGCAUUAGCCUUUUAAGCUAAAGAAAGAGGGAUCCCCCCCCCUCCUUAAUGAU
Molecule: transfer RNA, 64 nt
Filed under: Chlorospingus flavopectus ophthalmicus
Lineage: Eukaryota; Metazoa; Chordata; Aves; Passeriformes; Passerellidae
Description: Chlorospingus ophthalmicus tRNA-Lys
Source: RNAcentral